This 1157-nucleotide ribosomal RNA is filed under the name bacterium. Its description in RNAcentral is "bacterial SSU rRNA". It matches the Rfam family "Bacterial small subunit ribosomal RNA", at positions 59 to 1196 of the family's 1533-position model. The record is from RNAcentral.
CAGUCGAGCGACAGAUAAGGAGCUUGCUCCUUUGACGUUAGCGGCGGACGGGUGAGUAACACGUGGAUAACCUACCUAUAAGACUGGGAUAACUUCGGGAAACCGGAGCUAAUACCGGAUAACAUAUUGAACCGCAUGGUUCAAUAGUGAAAGGCGGCUUUGCUGUCACUUAUAGAUGGAUCCGCGCCGUAUUAGCUAGUUGGUAAGGUAACGGCUUACCAAGGCAACGAUACGUAGCCGACCUGAGAGGGUGAUCGGCCACACUGGAACUGAGACACGGUCCAGACUCCUACGGGAGGCAGCAGUAGGGAAUCUUCCGCAAUGGGCGAAAGCCUGACGGAGCAACGCCGCGUGAGUGAUGAAGGUCUUCGGAUCGUAAAACUCUGUUAUCAGGGAAGAACAAAUGUGUAAGUAACUGUGCACAUCUUGACGGUACCUGAUCAGAAAGCCACGGCUAACUACGUGCCAGCAGCCGCGGUAAUACGUAGGUGGCAAGCGUUAUCCGGAAUUAUUGGGCGUAAAGCGCGCGUAGGCGGUUUUUUAAGUCUGAUGUGAAAGCCCACGGCUCAACCGUGGAGGGUCAUUGGAAACUGGAAAACUUGAGUGCAGAAGAGGAAAGUGGAAUUCCAUGUGUAGCGGUGAAAUGCGCAGAGAUAUGGAGGAACACCAGUGGCGAAGGCGACUUUCUGGUCUGUAACUGACGCUGAUGUGCGAAAGCGUGGGGAUCAAACAGGAUUAGAUACCCUGGUAGUCCACGCCGUAAACGAUGAGUGCUAAGUGUUAGGGGGUUUCCGCCCCUUAGUGCUGCAGCUAACGCAUUAAGCACUCCGCCUGGGGAGUACGACCGCAAGGUUGAAACUCAAAGGAAUUGACGGGGACCCGCACAAGCGGUGGAGCAUGUGGUUUAAUUCGAAGCAACGCGAAGAACCUUACCAAAUCUUGACAUCCUUUGACCGCUCUAGAGAUAGAGUCUUCCCCUUCGGGGGACAAAGUGACAGGUGGUGCAUGGUUGUCGUCAGCUCGUGUCGUGAGAUGUUGGGUUAAGUCCCGCAACGAGCGCAACCCUUAAGCUUAGUUGCCAUCAUUAAGUUGGGCACUCUAAGUUGACUGCCGGUGACAAACCGGAGGAAAGGGGGGGGAUGACGUCAAAUCAUCAU